AAUCAACGCUGGCGGCGUGCCUAACACAUGCAAGUCGAACGCGAAAGUCCCGCAAGGGAUGAGUAGAGUGGCAAACGGGUGAGUAACACGUGGGUGACCUGCCUUCGAGCGGGGGAUAACGUCCCGAAAGGGACGCUAAUACCGCAUGACAUCCUGCCUUUGAAGAGGUGGAGAUCAAAGCUGGGGAUCGCAAGACCUAGCACUUGAAGAGGGGCCCGCGUCUGAUUAGCUAGUUGGUGGGGUAACGGCUCACCAAGGCAACGAUCAGUAUCCGGCCUGAGAGGGCGGACGGACACACUGGGACUGAGACACGGCCCAGACUCCUACGGGAGGCAGCAGUGGGAAUUGUUCGCAAUGGGCGCAAGCCUGACGACGCAACGCCGCGUGGAGGAUGAAGACC
This 400-nucleotide ribosomal RNA is filed under the name uncultured bacterium. RNAcentral describes it as "bacterial SSU rRNA". It matches the Rfam family "Bacterial small subunit ribosomal RNA", at positions 29 to 416 of the family's 1533-position model. The record is from RNAcentral.